GAUCGUAAAACUCUGUUGUCAGGGAAGAACAAGUACCGGAGUAACUGCCGGUACCUUGACGGUACCUGACCAGAAAGCCACGGCUAACUACGUGCCAGCAGCCGCGGUAAUACGUAGGUGGCAAGCGUUGUCCGGAAUUAUUGGGCGUAAAGCGCGCGCAGGCGGUUCCUUAAGUCUGAUGUGAAAGCCCCCGGCUCAACCGGGGAGGGUCAUUGGAAACUGGGGAACUUGAGUGCAGAAGAGAAGAGUGGAAUUCCACGUGUAGCGGUGAAAUGCGUAGAGAUGUGGAGGAACACCAGUGGCGAAGGCGACUCUUUGGUCUGUAACUGACGCUGAGGCGCGAAAGCGUGGGGAGCAAACAGGAUUAGAUACCCUGGUAGUCCACGCCGUAAACGAUGAGUGCUAAGUGUUAGAGGGUUUCCG
This 423-nucleotide ribosomal RNA is filed under the name Cytobacillus firmus. Its description in RNAcentral is "bacterial SSU rRNA". It matches the Rfam family "Bacterial small subunit ribosomal RNA", at positions 421 to 836 of the family's 1533-position model. The record is from RNAcentral. Lineage: Bacteria; Bacillati; Bacillota; Bacilli; Caryophanales; Bacillaceae.